Molecule: ribosomal RNA, 252 nt
Filed under: uncultured bacterium
Lineage: Bacteria
Description: partial 16S ribosomal RNA
Rfam family: Bacterial small subunit ribosomal RNA
Source: RNAcentral
UACAGAGGGGGCAAGCGUUGUUCGGAAUUACUGGGCGUAAAGGGCGCGUAGGCGGCCUUCUAAGUCAGACGUGAAAUCCCCCGGCUUAACCUGGGAACUGCGUCUGAUACUGGAGGGCUUGAGUAUGGGAGAGGGAUGUAGAAUUCCAGGUGUAGCGGUGAAAUGCGUAGAUAUUGGGAGGAACACCAGUGGCGAAGGCGGCUCACUGGACCGGAACUGACGCUGAGGCGCGAAAGCGUGGGGAGCAACAGG